Molecule: long non-coding RNA, 2168 nt
Organism: Homo sapiens (human)
Lineage: Eukaryota; Metazoa; Chordata; Mammalia; Primates; Hominidae
Exons: 3
Source: RefSeq, a predicted model, not a curated record
CUGAUCAACUGUGAAGGCUGAGACAUAGCCACCCCCACCCAUUCUGAAAAGGAAAAGCCCUCAGAGCUUCCCAGACUGGCACCUGCUCCUAGGGUGUGAGGAGGGUAGCACAGGGUCUGCCCUCAGAGACCUCAGGCUCAGAGAAUCAAGCUUCUCCCUCCCCUCCUGGGACCUACAGGGUCUGAGAUCGUCCACCAGGAGGAGGAGAAAGGAGUAGAGACCCCCUUCCUCGCUGCUGUCCUGGGACAGCCGGCACCCCUGGCACCCUCUGCCUCCCCACACUUCCAUGGCUUUGCCCUCUUGGCUUUCUGAGCCUCUGCCAAGCUUCUGUGCAUUCUUCAAGACCCACCUCAAAAGCCACCUCCAGGAAGCUGUCCUGGGUUCCUGUCCCUCGACCCCCAACAGAAUUAACUGCCCUCUCCUCUGCUCCCGCCUCCUGCUCCAGGCCCCUGGGGCUCACAGCUCUCAGGCUGUGGUUUUUCUCACCUUCCUGCAGCACAGCACCUCCCUGCGCAGACCAACCUUAUCCAAUCAACAAACGGGCACUGAGUCCCUCCCUGAGCAAGCUCCGUGGAGGAAAGGGGCCGCCACGUGGGGGAUGUGAGAUAGUUUAUCCCCUUGGCCUACAUGUAGGGGUGGGCUGGAUGAGGCACCCCUCUCAUUGAAAGUCCUGUGGAGGCUCUGAGGGCACCCACAGUAUCUAGAGCUGGGGCCAGAAGCUGGACCUGUUGCCAACCAAGACGCUGUCUCCCUGGCCCUUGCUUCCCUCACUGUGAGAAUAGGAGCGGUGCACGCAAAGGCAUGCCCUCAGCAGCCCUUUGAGGGGGGUGCUGUGAGGGGAUUGGUGGCCAGGGCACAGAAAGGUUAAGUGGCUGGCUGAGGUCACACAGCAAGGCAGGUGCAACUCCAAGAGGUCUCUGCACAGGGCAUGUUCUCUGUCUGCCCUCUCUGCUACUCCAGGUGUGGCCUCGGGAGAGGGCUGGUCUCCAACUGCACACUUCCUGGAUAGCAGUGAUCAUGGACACAUUUCAGGUUGGGCACUUGCAGUGCCAAGGGGAGGAGGACGCAAUGUGAAGGGAAGGUUUCUUGGUCGUGGUCUGGAUUGACAAGGAGGGCCAGAGGCAAACAAGGAUCAUCCAGACGGGACGGUUCACCUCUCCCUAACCUCCACAGCGACCCCAGGGCUGUUGGGCACCAGAGGAGGAAAUGCUGACUCACUAAUAGGAAGCUGGGACACACCCUCGUGUUGCAACCGUGGCCUCCCGGGGGUGCGUCGGCCUCAUCUGGCCACUGGGCUGGCGUCCCCCUCUGCUUUCCAUCAGCGCAUACUGGAUUCCCUCACCUUUUGCCGUCCCCACACUGCGCCACCCUGCACCUGGCACCACUCAGCACCUCCUCCUGGCCCUACCCGUCCGCCAUGGAAUCCAGCCACUGAGAAAGGCACCAUUGAAACAGACAUAAUCAUGGGUCAGAAGAUGUGACUCAGCCUCUACUCAAAUCUGUUUGUCAAACCAAAAGGUGCUUCGUGUUUAAGUCAAACUAUCCCUAAUGCAUUUUCCAUUCUCUUCAAAAACCACAGCCAUCAGUUUUAAAAAAAGACAGAAAACAUGAAGCACACUUCUCUUGCCUGGCUUACCAUUUUCUUUGAUCCAUUAAAAUCCAAGAGUGAGCCCUUCCUCGUCUCUAGAGUGUGGAGCAAAGAGGGAAUAAUUAUCCAUAAAGUGGCCUUCUGAGUGUUUGCUUUGCGAUGAAAGAAAACUUUUGAGAGCUUGGAAUAAAGAAGGAAUAUGGGCUCCCUUUCCUGCAGUAGCUACUUUGUUUGGGUCUGAGAAGCACCAGUCAUGGUCAAGCAAAAUUCACCAGACUCAGAAAACUGCCCUGCCCCGUGACUUCCAUCUGCUCCUCUCCUGAUAAUUGUAAAAGCCAAUGAAGAUUGUGCUUCUUAACUACACAUCAGCCGGCUGAUUGUAAGUGUUGGGAAUAUAAUUAGGGGUACACGGCUCUGACCCUCACUCUUCGUAGGUUUAACAAGAUUGGACUUACGCAAUGGCAAGAAGGAAACCGAGAUUGAAAAUGACCAAUUUUGCUGGUUGAGAGGCGUCUUGUUUUCUGGAAGAAACUGAGAAUCUGCAGUUGUAGACUGGGAAUGCUAGAACCUCUGGAGUGGC